GCGGCCGCCGAGCGCGAACUGGAACUGCUGCGCGCCAGCCUGGAGCACCAGCGCGGGGUGAGUGAGCUUCUGCGGGGCCGGUUGCGGGAGCUGGAGGAAGCCCGCGAGGCUGCGGAGGAGGCAGCGGCGGGGGCCCGGGCCCAGCUACGCGAGGCCACCACCCAGACCCCGUGGAGCUGUGCCGAAAAGGCCGCGCAGACCGAGCCCCCGGCGGAGGCGCCCUCCUUGACUCAGGAGAGCUUGCCCGGAUCCAUGGACGGAGACAGGGCUGUGGCGCCCGCGGGUGAGUCCCGACCCCGUCGCUGGGCCCUGGCUUACUCGGCGCCGGACUCGAACUCAGUGCCCUCAUCUCAUCCCCGCCAGGCAUCCUCAAAUCCAUCAUGAAGAAGAGAGACGGCACACCUGGUGCCCAACCCAGCUCCGGACCCAAGAGCCUGCAGUUUGUUGGGGUCCUCAACGGAGAGUGAGCGCCUUUCCCCUCCUGUGGCAGCUUCUGCCGGGACAUAGACUGGGGUUGGAACCCCAGCUCUGCCCCUCUGCUGGCAGCGUGGUCUGGGCAAUCCUCAGUUUCCUCAUCGUUAAAUGGGAACGGCCACACCCACAUCGCAGGACUCCAGAACGAGCCCACAGGGGAGGUUUAGCAGACGCCUCCCACCCUGCCCCCAGGUAC
RNAcentral lists this small RNA (670 nucleotides) under Pan troglodytes (chimpanzee). Its description in RNAcentral is "retained intron". Lineage: Eukaryota; Metazoa; Chordata; Mammalia; Primates; Hominidae. The record is from RNAcentral.